This 465-nucleotide ribosomal RNA is filed under the name uncultured bacterium. Its description in RNAcentral is "partial 16S ribosomal RNA". It matches the Rfam family "Bacterial small subunit ribosomal RNA", at positions 338 to 795 of the family's 1533-position model. The record is from RNAcentral.
CCUACGGGAGGCAGCAGUGGGGAAUAUUGCGCAAUGGGCGAAAGCCUGACGCAGCGACGCCGCGUGAGGGAUGAAGGUCCUCUGAUCGUAAAACUGUGUCAGCAGGGAGGAACGGUCACUUUGCUAUUCAUCAGUGAAUUGACCGUACCUGUAAAGGUAGCAUCGGCCCAAUCCGUCCCAGCAGCCGCGGUAAUACGGAAGGUGCGAGCGGUAAUCGGAAUUAAUUGGCGUAAAGGGCGCGUAGGCGGUAUGUCAAGUAAAGGGUGAAAUCCCCGCGCUCAACGUGGGAACUGCCUUUGAUACUGGCAGGCUGGAGAGUGUGAGAGGAUAGUGGAAUUCCAGGUGUAGGAGUGAAAUCCGUAGAGAUCUGAAGGAACAUCAGUGGCGAAGGCGACUAACUAAGACAUAACUGACGCUGAGGAACGAAAGCGUGGGUAGCAAACAGGAUUAGAUACCCGAGUAGUC